RNAcentral lists this ribosomal RNA (119 nucleotides) under Aegilops tauschii subsp. strangulata. Lineage: Eukaryota; Viridiplantae; Streptophyta; Magnoliopsida; Poales; Poaceae. The record is from RNAcentral.
GGAUGCGAUCAUACCAGCACUAAAGCACCGGAUCCCAUCAGAACUCCGAAGUUAAUCGUGCUUCGGCGACAGUAGUACUAGGAUGGGUGACCUCCUGGGAAGUCCUCGUGUUGCAUUCC